This 27-nucleotide non-coding RNA is filed under the name Mus musculus (house mouse). The record is from RNAcentral. Lineage: Eukaryota; Metazoa; Chordata; Mammalia; Rodentia; Muridae.
GACAACCUGGUGUCUACCUGUGGUCCU